CUGCACAAGUUAGUGGUUACUUGGGCAUGGUUGCUCUCUCAUUUCAGAGUCUCCUUUUGAAGUGGUUCAAAGGUAGAGAGCACUUUAGGAGAAUGGUGUGUUUUAAAACCUGGCUGGCAUUUACAAUGUUCUGCUCUGUUCUUCUCUGCAUUAGCUAUAAGAUAGUGGGCUUUAGUUUGCAGUAGAGAUCUUGUGGCUCAGGAGCCUGAAGAGUUUACUACUCAGCUCUGUGAAUCUUCUUUAAGAUGAUCUUUGAGAAUACCUUUCCAUGUCGUCCUUAAAGCAAGCUAUUGUCAUCCAUUGCUAGCAUUCAGAUUCUCAAGACAAGUAUGUCAUGAGAAAUGAACCUGCAAAGACUACCUGCUUUCUUACCACACUCAUUUCUCCUCACCACUUGUGCCUGCUGAAGUCUCUCCUCAAUCCUCUGCCAAGUGACUACUUGUUGUCUGGAAACUUCUGAGGACACUGGGGAAUCUGGUGGUAACAUGGGCAAGGCACAAGAAGUUAAGGACAGUUUCUGACCUCAAAUCAGAUUUUACCAUUUUAGGGAUGUAACCUUGAAUGGAUGGUGGUGUUUUAAUUUCUUCCGCUGAACAACUUCAGAAGAUGCAGAGUGAGUUUUGAUGGGAAAGAGACUCUUCAUGGGCUACUCUAGAACAAACAAUGGAAACGGAUCACAGGAAAGAAUGAAGGACAUGGUUCAUGUCUGAUUCAGACAGGAACAUGCUGUCCUCUGAGAGACUCCAUUCAGCAGCUGACUCAGAUGCAGACACCCACAACUAAACAGUGGAUGGAGCUUGGGGACUCUUACGGAAAAAUAGGAGGAAGGAUUCUGGGCCUAGAAGGAGAUAGGAACUCCACAGGAAGACCAGAGCCAACUAACAUGGACUGCUGGGGAUCUCAGAACAUAUAUGACCUGGACCUACACUUCCCUGCACCUAUGUAGCCGAUGUGCAGCUUGGUCUUCUUGUGGGUCCCGAAACAACUGGAGCAGGGACUAUCCCAAAAGCUGUUGCUUGUAUGUCGGAUAUCUUCUACCAGCUGGGCUGCCUUGUCUGUUCUCAGUGGGAGAGGAAGCAGAGACUUGAAGUGCUGGGUUUGGGGGUCUGUGUGAUACCCAGAGGUCCCCCACCAGCUCAGAGAAGAAUGGGGGAAUGGAGGAAGGGUUGUGAGAGAGGAUGACUAGAAGGAGGGUAGUAAGCAGGUUGUAAAGUGAAUAAGAAAAAAAAAGAAUUAAAUUAAAACAAACAAACAAACAAAAAACACCAAAGGAUUCCUCUCACAACACAAUUGGAGAGAAAUUAAUCAAAGAACCCAGUUCUUGUAGCCAAGCUGUCACACCGCCCACUAAGCCUACAAGUGGGAAUUCCAUUCAAAUAGUUGCAAAACAGUCCUUAAUACUUCAUCUUGUCUAUUAAUGGUCAGUUUGUCUCUGCAGUCAAACAGAACAAUCUUGUUUUCUCUAAUGAAAAGAAAAUUAAGUUAAAUCUUAAAAGAAGGGGAUUUAUUGUUUGUCGUUAGACAAUGGACACUAGAUACCGCAGAGUAAUGAAAUAAAUACAAGGAGCAAAGACAGAGAAUUUCUCAAGCAUUUCUCACACAGCCAUGCUUCAGCUGGAUGCUCCCCCACAGGCCUGUCCCUUGGCAGAAGAGUGUUCUUUAGCCUUCCAUAUGCUGCACUCUCUAAGAGAUAUACAAUGCCCGUUAAAAUAGUAAAGGUCCCAGAAUGCCGAAGUCAAGAAAUCCAUCUAAUGGCCUUUCCAUGCUUUAUAAUUCUACAAAGCUUUUCAAGUAUAGUCUCUACUAUAACUUUAUAGAUUUGGUGAGAGGGAAUAUGCCUAGAGUACUCCUAUACAAACACUACAUGUGUGUCCUAGUGCACUAGAAGUCAAGCCCCAGGAAAAUGGAAUCACUUAGAGGCAAUCAAAACUUUUGGUAGAAAAACAUGUCUUUGAAUGCUAAGAGCACGGAAGAAAGAAAUUAUAUAGGCUGGGAACCAUGUACUAUGGCAUUUAGGGGAGAGUGGAGAUUCAAAAGAAUGGGAAAGAAAUCAAGAAAUGGGAAGCAAAGUCUAAUAAUUCAAUCCACUAGGCCAUGUGUUAACGUAAUGUUUCUGAUGGAAGUAUACAGGACUUCAUAGGCUCCAGAGUUUUUAAGAUGAUGCUAUCUUUUACUAAAUCAGUACCUGGUCACCCUGCUGCCCAACUGGCUUUGGAAAUCUCCACUUCUCUGGGAUUCUAGAGGAGAGAGUAGGCAGGCUCACAAGGCUUCUUGGACAUUGAAUUUCUCUUACAAAACAAUAGUUUGUUGAAUUCUAUGCCAACUAAGCAGAUGGAUUACAUUUCUCUCUCAAUGUGCACAAAUUAAAAAAUUAAAGAGAAAAAGUAUUUGGUAAGAACCAGCUUUCUAUUUUGCUGGAUCAGAAGCAUUUACGGAAAUGGUUUGAAAUGCUUGGCUGAAACCCAGUGCCACCAGGCAUGCCUGGCUCCAGACACCAAUCCCAUUGACUGAAAAUUUCUAUUAAGCAAACAGAUGGGUGCAUGGUUUGUAGCUGACCUCCCCACAAGUGUGGAACAUGAAAUGCAAUAUUCCUGGAAGGAUAAACACUGUGUGCCUCAUAAUUUUACAAAGAGGGGUAGAGAUACAUUGCCAGGACAUCUUAGAAAUAAUAUUAGCUACAAAAUUAGAUUCUAAAGAGAUUAACUUUAUCAGUUAUUAGAGAAAUUGAGAAUGAAACUCAUAGAAAAAGCAAAAAAAAAAAAAAAAAAAAAAAAAAAAAAAAAAAACGAGAAAAAAAUGGGAAAGUAAGGGGUGAAUUGCCUAAAGUUCUACAACUGUGAAUAAAAUUAUUGAGAUGCUUUCUGAAAUAACAUGAUAAUUUCACAAAUUGUUAAUUAACAAAACCCAAGGUUUGUUUGUGUGCCUUUUUAAAAUGAAUAAAAUUUACUUUAAUAGCAGUUUUAAUGUUGGAGCAAUACUGAAAAGAAAAUCAAGCCCCUGCCCACUCUCCCACAAGGUGUUCUGUCAGCAUUUCUCAGUAGCUGGUAAUGCGUACGUAACCUUGACCAAAUAUCAGAGCUCACAUUAAAGACUACUCUGUACCUGUUUUUAAUAAAAAAGUAACAAGGUUGUGGAUUAUUGCUCUUAUUAAUGACUUACAAUACUGCUAAAAAGUGCAUUGCUUUUGGAUAUUUGAAGAAGACAGACACUGCAGCUAACAGUUUUGAAAAAAAUAAGUUGAUUUCAUAGUCUACUGAACUUAAAAAAAAAACCUAAAUUACUCAAAAGUUUAAGUUUUAUAGACUUAAUUCUGGUAUUGUUCCAAUAAGCAAGUCUUAUGUAUUAUCAAACACUAUUUGUAAUGUAAAAUGUGGAGCUAAUAUUAUUUCAUGGCUGUAACCCACUCUUUCAUGAGACAGCUACAGUUGCAAAAGGCAUACAAAGGAAAACAAACCCUAUGGUAGGUACUUUACACAGAAAAUGAUUGGAGUGACAGAAUAAAACUCAUGUUCAUUUCCACUGCUUUCAUUUUAAAAUGUGUGUGUGUGUGUGUGUGUGUGUGUGUGUGUCCACAGAAGUCAGAUCCCAUAAAGUUGGAACUGCAGGCCAUUGUGCUGGCAACCAAACGUGGGCCCUCUGUAAGAAUGGCAAAUGUUUUUUUACUGUUGAACCAUCUCCUCAGCUUUCAUUUUUUUUCUUUUUAUAAGAGCUUCCAUCCAGAUAUGAAGUUGGAAUCUUGGGUGUGUCAGUCAUGUGUCUCCUAGCCAAAAGAAUUCUGAAAUGUAUCCAUGCUGUGAUUUUGAUAAUGAGAUUCCAAAGACUGAAUGGAGUUCACUAGAGCUCUGUAUCUUGAUCUAUUCAGUGGACACAUUAAAAGUUCAAAGAAAGAUUAGAAAACCUAAUGACCAAUUCAGAGUGAGCCUAUCCAUAAUACCCAGUGUAUACCCUGCUGGUGUUAACCUAUUUCAGAUACAUUUCUCAAGAUGGUGACUGCUGUAUGUUCUAUUCUAUUCUGAGCCUCUGCUUCACUGGGGAGUAUUUGGCAAUGAUGAGCAUACAAUAUUUGCAAUCACCUGAGAAAACUAGGCACUGACACAGCCUUGUUAUCAGGAACCAAAGCUUUCUGUAUAUGAUAGUUCUUUUGAUUCUCUUACUAAUCCAAUUAUUAUUUUUGUGCUUCAUAGAAAGAGUAACUGAAAAUCCUUCAUUUUUAAAAUCAGAAUAAAGUUUUUUAAAAGAAAUGUGA
This is a long non-coding RNA of Mus musculus (house mouse), 4246 nucleotides long. RefSeq annotates it as predicted gene, 36827. The transcript is spliced from 6 exons. The record is from RefSeq and is a predicted model, not a curated record. Lineage: Eukaryota; Metazoa; Chordata; Mammalia; Rodentia; Muridae.